UACGUAGGGUGCGAGCGUUAAUCGGAAUUACUGGGCGUAAAGGGUGCGUAGGCGGUUGUUUAAGUCUGUCGUGAAAUCCCCGGGCUCAACCUGGGAAUGGCGAUGGAUACUGGACAGCUAGAGUGUGUCAGAGGAUGGUGGAAUUCCCGGUGUAGCGGUGAAAUGCGUAGAGAUCGGGAGGAACAUCAGUGGCGAAGGCGGCCAUCUGGGACAACACUGACGCUGAAGCACGAAAGCGUGGGGAGCAAACAGG
RNAcentral lists this ribosomal RNA (253 nucleotides) under uncultured bacterium. RNAcentral describes it as "partial 16S ribosomal RNA". It matches the Rfam family "Bacterial small subunit ribosomal RNA", at positions 524 to 776 of the family's 1533-position model. The record is from RNAcentral.